Molecule: long non-coding RNA, 1582 nt
Organism: Apus apus (common swift)
Lineage: Eukaryota; Metazoa; Chordata; Aves; Apodiformes; Apodidae
Exons: 2
Source: RefSeq, a predicted model, not a curated record
CUGGGGAGACCGGGGGGGGCCCGGGAGCUGGAGCCGGGCGGUGUCCGGGCCUGUCCCGGGCUCCCUCCUCCCUGAGGGAAAACCCGACCGUAACAGCUUCGCGAGGGCUGGUCCCGGUGUGCCCAAGCACGUGGCCGAGCUGAUGGGACGCGGAGCGGGAGGAGGGAGCUGCGCGACGGGCGCCUCCUGCGGCCCAGCGGCGGGGGCCCGGGCAGGCGCCCCUGCGCGUCGCUGGUCGCCCAGGCAGCGAGCGCGGCGAGCUGUGACACGCGUGGGUGCGCCAGUGCGGCUGGGCUAGGUUGGAGCAGGGCGAGUGGGCUGCCAAGUGCUGUUCUGGUUGCCCUGGUGAGAAAAGCUGCUGCAGUACCCACUUGGUAGAGAACCUUCCUCCAAACUGAAGGUAUCGUUACGUGUGGCAGCUAAUUCUGCUUACAGAGCACCGAGGCCCAGUCUCGGGGGAAAAAGCAAACACACAACAAACAAAAACCAACCAAAUAUUUCCCAGUGGAAAAGGACCUGAGGGUAUUGGUCGACAGCUGGCUGAAUGUGAGCCAGCGGUGUGCCCAGGUGACCAAGAAGGCCACAGCAUCCUGGCCUGUAGUGUGGCCAGCAGGAGCAGGGCAGCGAUUGUCCCCCUGUACUCCUGCACCCUGCAUGGGUGAGGCCACACCUCCAGUGCUUUGUGCAGUUCUGGGCUCCUCACUGCAAGGACACUGAGGUGCUGGAGCGAGUCCAGAGAAGAACAAUGAAGCUGGUAAAGGAUCUGGAGUACAAGUCUCACCUAGGAGGAGCGGCUGAGGGAGCUGGGGUUGUUUAGCCUGGAGAAAAGGAGGCCGAGGGGGGAGACCUUAUCAGUCUCUACAACUGACUACCCGAAAGGAGGUUGUAAGGAGGUGGGAGUGGGUCUCUGCUUUCAAGUAACACGUGAUGGGAAAAGACAAAUGGGCUCAAGUUGUACCACUGGAGGUUUAUAUUGGAUAUUAGGAAAAAUUUCUUCACCGAAAGGGUUGUCAGGCACUGCAAUAGGCUGCCCAGGGAAGUGGUUGAGUCAUCAACCCUGGAGGUGUUUAACAGAAAUGUAGAUGUGGUGCUUAGGAAUAUGGUUUGCUGGUGGACUCUGCAGUGCUGCGUUAACGGCUGGACUUGGAUGAUCUUAAAGAUGUUUUUUCCAACCAAAACUAUUCCAUGGUGGUCACAAUUUCUGUCCAUCCUAACGCCUGCAUUUUGUGACUCUCUUCCUUAACCGUGGUGUUGCCAUCUAGUGCCGAAAAGCCGUCAGUGACCGUCACCAGGAUCAGCUCUGGCUGUCCACAACCAGGGCCGUGUUAAACUUCUGAGAUUAGCUUAAUAUAAAAGAGAACAUGAAAAGUAAUUGAGAAAAGCCAGCAACCUCCCCCAAAUAUCUGGAUUUCACAAGGACUUGCAGAGAUGUUGCAUUCGGGCAGGAGCAAUUUGUAAUAAGGAAAAGAUUCCCUACCCAGUGCUCCUCAGACACUCAGAACACGUCCUGGCUGUGAUUUAACAUAUACAUUUACUUCUGUUAGUCAUUACAUUACUUUGGAUUAAAGGCAAAGUAACUGGA